This is a small nuclear RNA of Camelus dromedarius (Arabian camel), 117 nucleotides long. NCBI's taxonomy places the organism in Eukaryota, Metazoa, Chordata, Mammalia, Artiodactyla, Camelidae. The record is from Ensembl.
AUAGUCCUUGCCUCAGCAGCACUAAAAUUGAAACAAUACAGAGAGGAUUUGCAUCCUCUAGAAGAUAGGCCCUUGCACAAGGGUGACAUGCAAAUUCGUGAUGUGUUACAUAUUUUU